RNAcentral lists this ribosomal RNA (440 nucleotides) under uncultured bacterium. Its description in RNAcentral is "partial 16S ribosomal RNA". It matches the Rfam family "Bacterial small subunit ribosomal RNA", at positions 338 to 795 of the family's 1533-position model. The record is from RNAcentral.
CCUACGGGUGGCAGCAGUGGGGGAUAUUGCACAAUGGGCGAAACCCUGAUGCAGCGAAGCCGCGUGUGGGAUGACGGUCCUCUGGAUUGUAAACCACUGUCCCCAGGGACGAAGAUGACGGUACCUGGGGAGGAAGCUCCGGCUAACUACGUGCCAGCAGCCGCGGUAAUACGUAGGGAGCGAGCGUUGUCCGGAAUUACUGGGUGUAAAGGGAGCGUAGGCGGUGAUGCAAGUUGGGGGUAAAAUCUACCGGCUCAACUGGUAGUUGCAAUCGAAACUGCAGCUCUUGAGUGAAGGAGAGGCAGGCGGAAUGCGUAGUGUAGCGGUGAAAUGCGUAGAUAUUAGGAGGAACACCAGUGGCGAAGGCAGCCUGCUGGGCUUCUACUGACGCUGAGGCUCGAAAGUGUGGGUAGCAAACAGGAUUAGAUACCCGAGUAGUC